GACGUAGGGCGCGAGCGUUGUCCGGAUUUAUUGGGCGUAAAGAGCUCGUAGGCGGUUUGUCGCGUCUGCCGUGAAAGUCCGGGGCUCAACUCCGGAUCUGCGGUGGGUACGGGCAGACUAGAGUGAUGUAGGGGAGACUGGAAUUCCUGGUGUAGCGGUGAAAUGCGCAGAUAUCGGGAGGAACACCGGUGGCGAAGGCGGUUCUCUGGGCCUGUACUGACGCUGAGGAGCGAAAGCGUGGGGAGCGAACAGG
RNAcentral lists this ribosomal RNA (253 nucleotides) under uncultured bacterium. Its description in RNAcentral is "partial 16S ribosomal RNA". It matches the Rfam family "Bacterial small subunit ribosomal RNA", at positions 524 to 776 of the family's 1533-position model. The record is from RNAcentral.